CGAUGGUAGCUUGCUACCAGGCGUCGAGCGGCGGACGGGUGAGUAAUACUUAGGAAUCUACCUAGUAGUGGGGGAUAGCACGGGGAAACUCGUAUUAAUACCGCAUACGACCUACGGGAGAAAGGGGGCAGUUUACUGCUCUCGCUAUUAGAUGAGCCUAAGUCGGAUUAGCUAGAUGGUGGGGUAAAGGCCUACCAUGGCGACGAUCUGUAGCUGGUCUGAGAGGAUGAUCAGCCACACCGGGACUGAGACACGGCCCGGACUCCUACGGGAGGCAGCAGUGGGGAAUAUUGGACAAUGGGGGAAACCCUGAUCCAGCCAUGCCGCGUGUGUGAAGAAGGCCUUUUGGUUGUAAAGCACUUUAAGCAGUGAAGAAGACUCUUCGGUUAAUACCCGGAGACGAUGACAUUAGCUGCAGAAUAAGCACCGGCUAACUCUGUGCCAGCAGCCGCGGUAAUACAGAGGGUGCAAGCGUUAAUCGGAAUUACUGGGCGUAAAGCGAGCGUAGGUGGCUUGAUAAGUCAGAUGUGAAAUCCCCGGGCUUAACCUGGGAACUGCAUCUGAAACUGUUAGGCUAGAGUAGGUGAGAGGGAAGUAGAAUUUCAGGUGUAGCGGUGAAAUGCGUAGAGAUCUGAAGGAAUACCGAUGGCGAAGGCAGCUUCCUGGCAUCAUACUGACACUGAGGCUCGAAAGCGUGGGUAGCAAACAGGAUUAGAUACCCUGGUAGUCCACGCCGUAAACGAUGUCUACUAGUCGUUGGGUCCCUUGAGGACUUAGUGACGCAGCUAACGCAAUA
Molecule: ribosomal RNA, 796 nt
Filed under: Psychrobacter nivimaris
Lineage: Bacteria; Pseudomonadati; Pseudomonadota; Gammaproteobacteria; Moraxellales; Moraxellaceae
Description: bacterial SSU rRNA
Rfam family: Bacterial small subunit ribosomal RNA
Source: RNAcentral